CAUACUGCUGGAGGACUGAGGAGUAUAAGUGUUAUCAGACAUCAGGAGGAAGGUCCUGUGGUGUCUACUGAAUGUCACAUUCAGAUGAACUUCAUCUCCAGCAAAUCCACUGCCCACUUAGGCAGAGGAUAUUUUUAUGCAAGGCAUUCUCCAGAAGCUGCAGAGGUUGAAAGCCACCCUCUUGGCUACUCUCCAAGGCAUCAGAAGCAAGUUGAGUCCUAAAUCUUCACUCAGGUCAAUGACACGCAAGACAAAUAUGCACUAGGAUUAUCUGAGUGCCUCAUCCCAUAUCUGACAUAUUAGAAGUCUUGCAAUUCAGCUGACACCGUGAGAACCUGGGGGCAGAGUAAUCACUGGUUGACUGAAUUGCAGCACAGUGUGCUACAGAUAUCUCAGCUGUUGCUUCACAGUGGUGCUUGUUGACACCAUAGCUGGGCUUGCACGUCCAUAAGCAACUUGCCCUCUUGAGCCAGUUCCAGCACUAACAUGCUGAUUAUAGCUGGCAUGAGCACGCCCCACGUCUCUGCUGUGGUUCCCAGCUUUAUCUGGAUUUCUGCCCACUGAAGCGCCGGUUGUGAGGUUUAAUUUAGGCACAGUAUGAGUCUGGUACAAUAGGAACCAGGUUUCCAGUGAGCUUUUACUCCAGUCAGUCUUUUCCAAGUCUAGUCACAUGAAAGAUGAUUAAAUCUUUAUUAAACAUUCUUGGUUACA
Long non-coding RNA from Mauremys reevesii (Reeves's turtle), 711 nucleotides. RefSeq lists it as uncharacterized. Lineage: Eukaryota; Metazoa; Chordata; Testudines; Geoemydidae. The record is from RefSeq and is a predicted model, not a curated record. The transcript has 2 exons.